AUGGGACGGUCUAAUAAAUUAAUGUCACUCUCGCAUUCAGAUAUUCAUUGGUGUUCUCGAUCUUUAGAGGAUGUUAUCAUUAUUGAUCAUUGUGGGGAAUUCCCUAAUGUCCCUCUCCUUGGAAUUAGGGGAGGUAUAAUUUAUAAUCCUUGCUUAGCUUUACGACAGUUUUGGUAUGCUCAGAGGGAUGGCCCUCCUGACGCGCUUAUCCAAGGAAUCGUAUUUGACUAUAAGAACGAUGUCCAAGGUUAUUGUCAAAGAUUUGUAUGA
Molecule: non-coding RNA, 270 nt
Organism: Vicia faba (fava bean)
Lineage: Eukaryota; Viridiplantae; Streptophyta; Magnoliopsida; Fabales; Fabaceae
Source: the annotation of a GenBank genome assembly